AUACGUAGGUGACAAGCGUUAUCCGGAUUUACUGGGCGUAAAGGGCGUGUAGGCGGUCUUGCAAGUCAGAAGUGAAAUUCCUGAGCUCAACUCGGGCGCUGCUUCUGAAACUGCAGGACUUGAGUGCUGGAGGGGAAAGCGGAAUUCCUAGUGGAGCGGUAAAAUGCGCAGAUAUUAGGAAGAACACCGGUGGCGAAGGCGACUUUCUGGGCCGUAACUGACGCUGAGGCGCGAAAGCGUGGGGAGCGAACAGGAUUAGAUACCCUGGUAGUCCACGCGGUAAACGAUGAAUGCUAGGUGUUGCGGGUAUCGACCCCUGCAGUGCCGGAGUAAACACAAUAAGCAUUCCGCCUGGGGAGUACGGCCGCAAGGUUGAAACUCAAAGGAAUUGACGGGG
Molecule: ribosomal RNA, 397 nt
Filed under: uncultured bacterium
Lineage: Bacteria
Description: partial 16S ribosomal RNA
Rfam family: Bacterial small subunit ribosomal RNA
Source: RNAcentral